RNAcentral lists this ribosomal RNA (104 nucleotides) under Paenibacillus sacheonensis. Lineage: Bacteria; Bacillati; Bacillota; Bacilli; Caryophanales; Paenibacillaceae. The record is from RNAcentral.
GCGGAGGGGAACCACGCGUACCCAUCCCGAACACGACCGUUAAGCCCUCCAGCGCCGAUGGUACUUGGACCGCAGGGUCCUGGGAGAGUAGGACGUUGCCAAGC